CGAUGAAAAACCUUUUUUUCUGAGGUGCGGCCCGCACCUGUCCAACUAAACUAGGGCUACCUUUUUUCAACACGGUUGCAUCGGUUGGGCUUCGAAGCAGAGGGAGGCAUGCGAAAGCGUGUGUUCCUCUACGUCGACCUAACACCUUUACAAACACUUUUGAUGAUCUAGGAUUUGGAAGAAUUUAUUAUUUUUACGGCUGGUAAUGCGGUCGUACUAAAAAUCUUAAAAA
RNAcentral lists this unclassified non-coding RNA (232 nucleotides) under uncultured Sporisorium. RNAcentral describes it as "sequence contains ITS1". The record is from RNAcentral. Lineage: Eukaryota; Fungi; Basidiomycota; Ustilaginomycetes; Ustilaginales; Ustilaginaceae.